GACGAACGCUGGCGGCGUGCCUAAUACAUGCAAGUCGAACGCUGAAGAGAGGAGCUUGCUCUUCUUGGAUGAGUUGCGAACGGGUGAGUAACGCGUAGGUAACCUGCCUUGUAGCGGGGGAUAACUAUUGGAAACGAUAGCUAAUACCGCAUAACAAUGGAUGACACAUGUCAUUUAUUUGAAAGGGGCAAUUGCUCCACUACAAGAUGGACCUGCGUUGUAUUAGCUAGUAGGUGAGGUAAUGGCUCACCUAGGCGACGAUACAUAGCCGACCUGAGAGGGUGAUCGGCCACACUGGGACUGAGACACGGCCCAGACUCCUACGGGAGGCAGCAGUAGGGAAUCUUCGGCAAUGGGGGCAACCCUGACCGAGCAACGCCGCGUGAGUGAAGAAGGUUUUCGGAUCGUAAAGCUCGGUUGUAAGUCAAGAACGGGUGUGAGAGUGGAAAGUUCACACUGUGACGGUAGCUUACCAGAAAGGGACGGCUAACUACGUG
This 497-nucleotide ribosomal RNA is filed under the name uncultured bacterium. Its description in RNAcentral is "partial 16S ribosomal RNA". It matches the Rfam family "Bacterial small subunit ribosomal RNA", at positions 28 to 507 of the family's 1533-position model. The record is from RNAcentral.